UGGGAGUCAGCCGAACUGAACUCGUAGAAGACAUAUUUCUGUGUACAUCUGCAGAGGAUGAAGCUAUACAGGUUCUGGCUUCAGAGAGGGAUUUGCAACGUGAGAAACUAGAAGCAGUAAACACCAGAACAUGAGACCAGAAAGGUACCCACUCAUCUACCCAUUCUUAAUGCGUUGUAAAUGAGCCACCAGUAAAAGAGCCACCACAUUUGAAGUGAAAAUAUGAACAUUAUUUAAUAACUGAUCCUCUGUAAUAAACAAUUUGAAAAUAUUU
This is a long non-coding RNA of Lacerta agilis (Sand lizard), 274 nucleotides long. RefSeq lists it as uncharacterized. The record is from RefSeq and is a predicted model, not a curated record. NCBI's taxonomy places the organism in Eukaryota, Metazoa, Chordata, Lepidosauria, Squamata, Lacertidae. The transcript has 2 exons.